This 1207-nucleotide long non-coding RNA is filed under the name Equus caballus (horse). RNAcentral's name for it is "lncRNA (ENSECAG00000034625.3)". The record is from RNAcentral. Lineage: Eukaryota; Metazoa; Chordata; Mammalia; Perissodactyla; Equidae.
UGUAUAUGUAUUUUCUAAUUUGGAAUUAUAAUGCAGUGCUAUGCUAUUUAUUUUGGUGCUCAAAUUGUCCCAGCUUUGGCCGCUGGGAGCUCUCCCACGUUGGCUCCUGUGUCCCUUUGACAUGCCCCACCAUUUUGUUUUUUGUGAACUUCCUUACUUUAUGAUACUAUAAGUUACUCCAGGAUUAUUUUUAUUUUCUUUCUCUUCCCCAACCCUAGAAUCAACCAUUUUCCCAAGGAUCCUUGAUUUCUUUUAUUGGAAAAUGGUAUUUAGAAAUCAGGAUGUGCGUGCUGGGUUUACUCUUGGCUGCUGGGGUGUGACUGCUUCCAGGCCCUCUCAGGGGACACAGCUAGAUGUAAUAAUCCUGCGGCCAGCUACAAUAUGCCAUUCUUCUGCACCUUGGUCAGUGGGACAGAUCCCUGGGCUCCUCCAGGGGAGAAGGAGGAGAAAACUUCUUUCCCACUUGGGACAUGGUUACGGCUGGGUUUUGCAGCUCUCACUAUCUCCCCUGCAGGGAUGGCCUGGAUCCUGCCAUGUAAAUCAAAGAAGAGAGGGCCUGACUCAGCUGCCUAGCCUGCGUCACCUGGAACCCAUUAUGAUACAGGAUCAUAAACACCUCCAUUUUCCCUCCAGAGAGAGACCAGACCCACUGAAGUUAAGCUACCUGCAUAAGAGUUGAGUGCGAUCAGCUGUACUUAAUCUUUAAAUGUCCAACCCACUGAUAACCUUUGGUUUGCUUUGAUAACUGUGAAAUAAAUUCUCACUGCAUCGGAUGCCGGCAUUCUGGUUUCUAUUCAAGGCUGUGGUGCAGAUGUCAUGGAAUCUUGGACUGGACAACAGUCCUUGGAGAUCUCUGGGGCCAGUUACUGGCUUUUAGGCAUUUAAUUUCUAAGCCUCCCUCUGCCAACUCUAAAUUUCUUCGGGGAAUGCCAUGGCAUUUGUGCAUCACCAAGCUUUAGGUGCUCUCUGGGGUGAGAACCAUUUGGAGGUGGGAGAAAUGGGAGAAAAAGAAAGACCCAGCAAAUUCAAAGCUUCACAACAUGGUAUAACAGGAAGAACACUGUCUAAGUUUCAAGCAUCUUGGGUUUGAAUCCAACUCUUCUGUUCUCACCCUGCCUCAGCUUCCUAGCCAUGCAAUCUUGGGAAAAGGAUGUUAGCUCUUUUGCCCUUAGUUUUUCUCUUCUGUAAAGUGAAUGGGAAUGGUCAG